Molecule: unclassified non-coding RNA, 232 nt
Filed under: plant metagenome
Description: partial contains small subunit ribosomal RNA, internal transcribed spacer 1, and 5.8S ribosomal RNA
Source: RNAcentral
UCUCCGUUGGUGAACCAGCGGAGGGAUCAUUACAGAGUUGCAAAACUCCCAAACCAUUGUGAACGUUACCUAUCCCGUUGCUUCGGCGGGCGGCCCGGGCCCCGCGCCCGGCGCCCCCCCGGCCCCCCGUGGGCGCCCGCCGGAGGUAAGCCAAACCCUUGAACUGCAUGGCCUCUCUGAGUCUUCUGUACUGAAUAAGUCAAAACUUUCAACAACGGAUCUCUUGGUUCUG